This 2903-nucleotide ribosomal RNA is filed under the name Klebsiella quasipneumoniae. Its description in RNAcentral is "23S ribosomal RNA". It matches the Rfam family "Bacterial large subunit ribosomal RNA". The record is from RNAcentral. Lineage: Bacteria; Pseudomonadati; Pseudomonadota; Gammaproteobacteria; Enterobacterales; Enterobacteriaceae.
GGUUAAGCGACUAAGCGUACACGGUGGAUGCCCUGGCAGUCAGAGGCGAUGAAGGACGUGCUAAUCUGCGAAAAGCGUCGGUAAGGUGAUAUGAACCGUUAUAACCGGCGAUGUCCGAAUGGGGAAACCCAGUGCAAUUCGUUGCACUAUCGUUAACUGAAUACAUAGGUUAACGAGGCGAACCGGGGGAACUGAAACAUCUAAGUACCCCGAGGAAAAGAAAUCAACCGAGAUUCCCCCAGUAGCGGCGAGCGAACGGGGAGCAGCCCAGAGUCUGAAUCAGCUUGUGUGUUAGUGGAACGGUCUGGAAAGUCCGACGGUACAGGGUGAUAGUCCCGUACACCAAAAUGCACAGGUUGUGAACUCGAAGAGUAGGGCGGGACACGUGGUAUCCUGUCUGAAUAUGGGGGGACCAUCCUCCAAGGCUAAAUACUCCUGACUGACCGAUAGUGAACCAGUACCGUGAGGGAAAGGCGAAAAGAACCCCGGCGAGGGGAGUGAAAAAGAACCUGAAACCGUGUACGUACAAGCAGUGGGAGCACCUUUAUGGUGUGACUGCGUACCUUUUGUAUAAUGGGUCAGCGACUUAUAUUCUGUAGCAAGGUUAACCGUAUAGGGGAGCCGCAGGGAAACCGAGUCUUAACUGGGCGUUAAGUUGCAGGGUAUAGACCCGAAACCCGGUGAUCUAGCCAUGGGCAGGUUGAAGGUUGGGUAACACUAACUGGAGGACCGAACCGACUAAUGUUGAAAAAUUAGCGGAUGACUUGUGGCUGGGGGUGAAAGGCCAAUCAAACCGGGAGAUAGCUGGUUCUCCCCGAAAGCUAUUUAGGUAGCGCCUCGUGAACUCAUCUUCGGGGGUAGAGCACUGUUUCGGCUAGGGGGUCAUCCCGACUUACCAACCCGAUGCAAACUACGAAUACCGAAGAAUGUUAUCACGGGAGACACACGGCGGGUGCUAACGUCCGUCGUGAAGAGGGAAACAACCCAGACCGCCAGCUAAGGUCCCAAAGUCAUGGUUAAGUGGGAAACGAUGUGGGAAGGCACAGACAGCCAGGAUGUUGGCUUAGAAGCAGCCAUCAUUUAAAGAAAGCGUAAUAGCUCACUGGUCGAGUCGGCCUGCGCGGAAGAUGUAACGGGGCUAAACCAUGCACCGAAGCUGCGGCAGCGACACUAUGUGUUGUUGGGUAGGGGAGCGUUCUGUAAGCCUGCGAAGGUGACCUGUGAGGGUUGCUGGAGGUAUCAGAAGUGCGAAUGCUGACAUAAGUAACGAUAAAGCGGGUGAAAAGCCCGCUCGCCGGAAGACCAAGGGUUCCUGUCCAACGUUAAUCGGGGCAGGGUGAGUCGACCCCUAAGGCGAGGCCGAAAGGCGUAGUCGAUGGGAAACAGGUUAAUAUUCCUGUACUUGGUGUUACUGCGAAGGGGGGACGGAGAAGGCUAUGUUAGCCGGGCGACGGUUGUCCCGGUUUAAGCAUGUAGGCUGGUUAUCCAGGCAAAUCCGGAUAAUCAAGGCUGAGGUGUGAUGACGAGGCACUACGGUGCUGAAGUAACAAAUGCCCUGCUUCCAGGAAAAGCCUCUAAGCAUCAGGUAACAUCAAAUCGUACCCCAAACCGACACAGGUGGUCAGGUAGAGAAUACCAAGGCGCUUGAGAGAACUCGGGUGAAGGAACUAGGCAAAAUGGUGCCGUAACUUCGGGAGAAGGCACGCUGGUGUGUAGGUGAAGUCCCUGCGGAUGGAGCUGAGACCAGUCGAAGAUACCAGCUGGCUGCAACUGUUUAUUAAAAACACAGCACUGUGCAAACACGAAAGUGGACGUAUACGGUGUGACGCCUGCCCGGUGCCGGAAGGUUAAUUGAUGGGGUUAUCCGUAAGGAGAAGCUCUUGAUCGAAGCCCCGGUAAACGGCGGCCGUAACUAUAACGGUCCUAAGGUAGCGAAAUUCCUUGUCGGGUAAGUUCCGACCUGCACGAAUGGCGUAAUGAUGGCCAGGCUGUCUCCACCCGAGACUCAGUGAAAUUGAACUCGCUGUGAAGAUGCAGUGUACCCGCGGCAAGACGGAAAGACCCCGUGAACCUUUACUAUAGCUUGACACUGAACAUUGAGCCUUGAUGUGUAGGAUAGGUGGGAGGCUUUGAAGCGUGGACGCCAGUCUGCGUGGAGCCAACCUUGAAAUACCACCCUUUAAUGUUUGAUGUUCUAACGUUGGCCCCUUAUCGGGGUUGCGGACAGUGUCUGGUGGGUAGUUUGACUGGGGCGGUCUCCUCCCAAAGCGUAACGGAGGAGCACGAAGGUUAGCUAAUCCUGGUCGGACAUCAGGAGGUUAGUGCAAUGGCAUAAGCUAGCUUGACUGCGAGCGUGACGGCGCGAGCAGGUGCGAAAGCAGGUCAUAGUGAUCCGGUGGUUCUGAAUGGAAGGGCCAUCGCUCAACGGAUAAAAGGUACUCCGGGGAUAACAGGCUGAUACCGCCCAAGAGUUCAUAUCGACGGCGGUGUUUGGCACCUCGAUGUCGGCUCAUCACAUCCUGGGGCUGAAGUAGGUCCCAAGGGUAUGGCUGUUCGCCAUUUAAAGUGGUACGCGAGCUGGGUUUAGAACGUCGUGAGACAGUUCGGUCCCUAUCUGCCGUGGGCGCUGGAGAAUUGAGGGGGGCUGCUCCUAGUACGAGAGGACCGGAGUGGACGCAUCACUGGUGUUCGGGUUGUCAUGCCAAUGGCACUGCCCGGUAGCUAAAUGCGGAAGAGAUAAGUGCUGAAAGCAUCUAAGCACGAAACUUGCCCCGAGAUGAGUUCUCCCUGAGACUUUAAGUCUCCUGAAGGAACGUUGAAGACGACGACGUUGAUAGGCCGGGUGUGUAAGCGCAGCGAUGCGUUGAGCUAACCGGUACUAAUGAACCGUGAGGCUUAACCUU